Girardinichthys multiradiatus is the source of this 2564-nucleotide long non-coding RNA. RefSeq lists it as uncharacterized. NCBI's taxonomy places the organism in Eukaryota, Metazoa, Chordata, Actinopteri, Cyprinodontiformes, Goodeidae. The transcript has 3 exons. The record is from RefSeq and is a predicted model, not a curated record.
CCCACUGUGAGAAACUGCACGCGCCCCAGUUACAUGUCCGCGCCUUGCCGUGACGAGGCUCGCGCUGUGAUGAGAGGGGAUGUAAUGGAUUUAUAGCGCCGGAGGAUUCCUGUGGGUCCGCAGCCUCAGUCGGGUUCGCCAACUAGUAACUUCUGUAAUAAACUGCCAUAGUGAUGGUGCUGCAGCAGAAGGAGAAAGAUCUUGGUGACCAUCUGAAACCAAUUAUGGCGGCUCUGCAGCCACCCAGAAACUCUGUGACGGAUGGGGAUCUUUGUAUUUAUAGCUGGGAUGCAGGUGCUUUGAGGGGCAUUGCAGAGGAAUUGCAGCUUGGAUUCAUCUACCCUCUUUCACACCUCCUCCUUGUGCCUGCAGAAGGAAAUACAGGAGCAGCAGUCAUAUUUUCUCCAUCAAUCUAUUCAUCCAUAUUGUAUGCCCACUUAGCUCUUGGAGGGUUGAGGUGGUGGUGGAAUCUGGCGACUAAUGUGCAGAGUCAAAUAGAUCAGCAAAUGUUAUUUUGAAUAUAUAUAAUGUGAGGUUUCCAGUUGAGUUAAUCAUCAAUAAUGACACCAAUAAAUUGAUUUGCAUACUCUCUUUCAACAUUCCCCCCAUUUAUCUGUAGACUGAGUUCCCAAUUAACCACAUUUUUAGUUAGCUUAUUUCUUUAGUUACAUAAUUCAGUAAAUUUUCUAUAUCAUAUCCAUUGCAGAAAAUGCUUGUGUCAUUGGCAAAAAAUACCAGUUUCAUUACUUCUGAUUUAAUGUAAGUCAUUCACAUGCAAUAUAAAGAACUUGGGACCCAGCAACAGCCCCUGAGGAACCCCACAAGCAAUGUCCAAAUAUUUUGAACACAGCUCUCAACACUAUAUAUGGUUGUCUGUUUGUCAAUUAACUUUUAAACCAUUGCAGAACAUCCCCCCAAUAUAAUACAGUUCUAGGUUUUGUUUUAUCCAUAAAUCAUGAUUCAUUGUAUCAAAAGCUUUUUUAAUGUCAACAAACAUUCCAAUAGCAAGUUUUUUUUUUCUUUAUUGUCAAUAGCGGUUAUUUGUUCAAUGGCUUCUAGUAUUGCCAGUGCUGUUGACUGUCUUAAAUCUAAAACCGAAAUGAUUUUCGCUGAAAAAAUAGUUUUUCUAAAAAAAGAUUCUAAACCUUUAUCAAAGUUUUUCUUUGUGGCAAUAGAAAAAAACGGUCUGUAAUUGGUUCAUUGGAGUUUAUCUCCUACAGGGGUAUUGUCUUUUUCACAUUAUCCAGAAAUAAAAGAGUUUAAACAAGAAAUUACAGAUGUGCGUUAUACAUUUUGAAAUUUCCUCACUUACAAGUUCAAUCAGAGACAUAUUCAUGCUAUGUAAUGCAAUGUGUUCAGUCUUAUGUGUUUAAGCUAGAGUUUACUCAGAUGAUCCAGUAGCUAUGAUGGAUUCUGUCAUGAAUGGCAGAGCUGAAGCAACCGAUGAUGAUGCCGAACUCCUUCACAACUUGAUCAGUUCAUAUUACUUCUGUUUUAAUGACUUUUCAUUGGUUACAAGUUCACUUUAGAAUUCAUUAUAAAAGUCUGACUUCAACCUUUAGGGUCAUGCGUGGUUAAAUUUCCUCCUAUAUUACCGAAUUGUUUAACCCACAUAGUCCAACUCAAGCCUUCAGGUCCUCAAACCAAAAUCAACUCGUUGGCCGAAGAAUCAGGUAUAUAGCUCAAGGGAUCGCUCUUUCCAGGCUGUUGCAACACCACUGUGGAAUGAGCUUCCUUUGUUUUUACUAUAUUUUAAGAAUCUGGACUAAUUUAAAAAGCAGCUGAAGACAUGUUUUUUCAAAUGUACUUUCCCUUUUUAGAUGUAUUUUAAGUAUUAUUGUAAUCAUUUGUUUUAAUCAUUUGUAAUAAUCCAUUAUUUGUUUAUCCUUUUAAUCAUGUUUUAAUUUUCUUGCUUUGCCUUUGUUAAAAACUUUAGGAUUGUAUCUUUGAAAAGCUGCUAUAUUAAAACAAAGUUGACUUAUUUUCUUCUAAUGCCUUAUAUAAUCUCACCAGCUCUGACACUUAUAUUUGAAAAUGCUAAUAUUUCUAUUUGCUAUUUAAUAAUAGAAAAUGCUACAUAAUGCAUGUCCAUAAUCUGUCAUAAGUCAAAAGUCUGCCAUAGGGUUUACUAAUACCAGCAGAGCAUCUAAAGUCUUGUGCAUCUUGUGAUGUCAUCGACCCAAAUACAAGUCAAGGAUUUUUUUUUCUUUUCUUCUGAGUUUUUUCUUCAAGGUUUUUAGAAAAACUUUGUAUUUUUCUGAAAUCUUGCUUUGGAAGUCAAUACUUCAUUAACCAGCUGUGUUUUUAUUGUUCACAUACAUUUGUUUGUGGAAAGAAUACAUACCUGGAUGCUAUAUUUCAGUUCACUAUCAAAUGUUAUGAAUUUUCAUCUUUAAAGAAAAACUACUAACUAUAUCCCCAGUGGAAAAAAAUAUCAGCACAAAAAUACAUGUGUACUAUAAUAGUCCAGUUUUGUUAUUAUUUAACUCAGGAAAGCUUCAUAGAUUGACAGUCGAAAGUUAAAUAUGAACAAGACCCAUUUAAAAUAAACAAUUUAUCUCAAG